This is a long non-coding RNA of Salarias fasciatus (jewelled blenny), 559 nucleotides long. RefSeq lists it as uncharacterized. The transcript is spliced from 3 exons. Lineage: Eukaryota; Metazoa; Chordata; Actinopteri; Blenniiformes; Blenniidae. The record is from RefSeq and is a predicted model, not a curated record.
AUCUCCUCCAGCAAGACCAUCCUUGACCAGCUGGAUAUGGCUCACAGGCUGGAGUUCAGGCUGAUCCUGACGCAGAAAUUUGCAUGUGACAUCCGUGUCAUUAGGUUUUUGAGGGAGAGGACGCUGGGAAACAGCCCCACACGUUUGGUUAAACAGCUGAAAGAAAACCACAGCGAGGAGUGGCUGAAGCGCCUCUGCCGAUAUCUUGGGGCAUGCUCUGACUUUGCAGCUCGGCCCAGCUUGCUCCCCGUCACAUUCCAGGAGCCUCUGAGCCAGUAGCAGUACCAAGUCACCGCUGGAUGUUGGCUCUGUAUGGGCCAGACAUUUUGAGCAGGCUGGACCACAUUAAAACCACAAUAACGUCCACAUUUGGCACCAUCCUGAAAAUGGACUCCACCAAAAAGAUCACCAAAAAACUGUCUGGCGUUGCCAGAGGGACUGGUCUGUGGCUCUCAUCAGUGAGUAAUGAGGUGGGCCAAAUCCUCAUCAGUGUCUUGACUGCUCAGGAGGGUCCUGGGCUCCACAUGAUGGCUGCUGGGCUCAUCCGGCGCUACAGUGA